Molecule: ribosomal RNA, 301 nt
Filed under: uncultured bacterium
Lineage: Bacteria
Description: partial 16S ribosomal RNA
Rfam family: Bacterial small subunit ribosomal RNA
Source: RNAcentral
CAGUCGCCGCGGUAAUACGAAGGGUGCAAGCGUUAAUCGGAAUUACUGGGCGUAAAGCGUGCGUAGGCGGCUAAUUGAGUCGGAUGUGAAAUCCCCGAGCUUAACUUGGGAAUUGCAUUCGAUACUGGUUAGCUAGAGUGUGGGAGAGGAUGGUAGAAUUCCAGGUGUAGCGGUGAAAUGCGUAGAGAUCUGGAGGAAUACCGAUGGCGAAGGCAGCCAUCUGGCCUAACACUGACGCUGAGGUACGAAAGCAUGGGGAGCAAACAGGAUUAGAUACCCCGGUAGUCCCUGUCUCUUAUAC